AGACCCGAAACCCGGUGAUCUAGCCAUGGGCAGGUUGAAGGUUGGGUAACACUAACUGGAGGACCGAACCGACUAAUGUUGAAAAAUUAGCGGAUGACCUGUGGCUGGGGGUGAAAGGCCAAUCAAACCGGGAGAUAGCUGGUUCUCCCCGAAAGCUAUUUAGGUAGCGCCUCGUGAAUUCAUCUCCGGGGGUAGAGCACUGUUUCGGCUAGGGGGCCAUCCCGGCUUACCAACCCGAUGCAAACUGCGAAUACCGGAGAAUGUUAUCACGGGAGACACACGGCGGGUGCUAACGUCCGUCGUGAAGAGGGAAACAACCCAGACCGCCAGCUAAGGUCCCAAAGUCAUGGUUAAGUGGGAAACGAUGUGGGAAGGCCCAGACAGCCAGGAUGUUGGCUUAGAAGCAGCCAUCAUUUAAAGAAAGCGUAAUAGCUCACUGGUCGAGUCGGCCUGCGCGGAAGAUGUAACGGGGCUAAACCAUGCACCGAAGCUGCGGCAGCGACACUGUGUGUUGUUGGGUAGGGGAGCGUUCUGUAAGCCUGUGAAGGUGUGUCGUGAGGCAUGCUGGAGGUAUCAGAAGUGCGAAUGCUGACAUAAGUAACGAUAAAGCGGGUGAAAAGCCCGCUCGCCGGAAGACCAAGGGUUCCUGUCCAACGUUAAUCGGGGCAGGGUGAGUCGACCCCUAAGGCGAGGCCGAAAGGCGUAGUCGAUGGGAAACGGGUUAAUAUUCCCGUACUUGGUGUUACUGCGAAGGGGGGACGGAGAAGGCUAUGUUGGCCGGGCGACGGUUGUCCCGGUUUAAGCGUGUAGGUGUGUGUUCCAGGUAAAUCCGGUUCACUUUAACACUGAGGCGUGACGACGAGGCACUACGGUGCUGAAGCAACAAAUGCCCUGCUUCCAGGAAAAGCCUCUAAGCAUCAGGUAACAUCAAAUCGUACCCCAAACCGACACAGGUGGUCAGGUAGAGAAUACCAAGGCGCUUGAGAGAACUCGGGUGAAGGAACUAGGCAAAAUGGUGCCGUAACUUCGGGAGAAGGCACGCUGACACGUAGGUGAAGUGAUUUACUCAUGGAGCUGAAGUCAGUCGAAGAUACCAGCUGGCUGCAACUGUUUAUUAAAAACACAGCACUGUGCAAACACGAAAGUGGACGUAUACGGUGUGACGCCUGCCCGGUGCCGGAAGGUUAAUUGAUGGGGUCAGCGCAAGCGAAGCUCCUGAUCGAAGCCCCGGUAAACGGCGGCCGUAACUAUAACGGUCCUAAGGUAGCGAAAUUCCUUGUCGGGUAAGUUCCGACCUGCACGAAUGGCGUAAUGAUGGCCAGGCUGUCUCCACCCGAGACUCAGUGAAAUUGAACUCGCUGUGAAGAUGCAGUGUACCCGCGGCAAGACGGAAAGACCCCGUGAACCUUUACUAUAGCUUGACACUGAACAUUGAGCCUUGAUGUGUAGGAUAGGUGGGAGGCUUUGAAGUGUGGACGCCAGUCUGCAUGGAGCCGACCUUGAAAUACCACCCUUUAAUGUUUGAUGUUCUAACGUGGACCCGUUACCCGGGUUGCGGACAGUGUCUGGUGGGUAGUUUGACUGGGGCGGUCUCCUCCUAAAGAGUAACGGAGGAGCACGAAGGUU
RNAcentral lists this ribosomal RNA (1626 nucleotides) under Salmonella enterica. RNAcentral's name for it is "partial 23S ribosomal RNA". It matches the Rfam family "Bacterial large subunit ribosomal RNA", at positions 711 to 2318 of the family's 2925-position model. The record is from RNAcentral. RNAcentral also lists the same sequence under 1 other name. Lineage: Bacteria; Pseudomonadati; Pseudomonadota; Gammaproteobacteria; Enterobacterales; Enterobacteriaceae.